UUUAGUAAAUUAUUUCUCUCUUUCUCUAAGUAUCAGUACAGCUCUUGAAACAUUUGGAACUUUUAAAGAGAGAGCUGGGGAAAUACCUAUCUGAAUUUUGUCUGAAAAUAGACUCUGAGGUAUGUGCUGUCUUCCAUCAAGUCAAUAAUUGACAUAUUUCUGUGCCAGAGUAGCAGACUGCUGGUGAAAAUGUAGCACUUUUUUCCAAUUUAGCAACUAGACUCUCUUUGAAGUUUUGUGUUGGAAACUGGGAAGCAACACAGGGGACCCCAAAACAUAGAAGGUCAAAGAAAGGCAUCCAGCAGAAAUAAGAUGUGGGGUUUUUAAAAUUUUUUUUUUUCCCUGGGUAGAUAGUUACAUGUGGCAGAUGACAAUAAGGGCUGUAACCGAAUUGGCUGGUCCAGAUGUUUAUCACAGAGAAGGACUUGGAUAAAGUUUAUGAAUUUUAAUUUUCACUACUCAAGUGAUUAUCUGAAGGUGUCAAAGGUUGGGGCUUCAAAGGUUGUGUCUUAAAAGCAGCGAGGGAGAUAAACAAGAACAAAGUCCAGAAACAGCAACAUCUCUGCGCUUGUGAGCAAGAACAGCAAAACUGUCAAGCCUUGCCCUUUCUUCUUAUGGGUCAGUUCAAAAUCCAUCUUCCUGCACAGCAUCUUGGCAUCUGGCCUCCAGUGUUGUUGCCAAAUGCUUAAUGAAAAUGGAAGUACCCUGGACCUCUAGGUCCAGCGCAGGAACCGAACAGACAUCUCCAAGAGAAUCCUACAUAGCCAGCAGUGACUGCAUUAGAUGUGCCAGAAAAGAAUGGAUCAGUACAGUCCUAUAAAUCCUGAACACAUGAGGAUUCAAAACAGGGCAGGAGAAGCAGAAAGAUGUGAUUGCCUGACCUGUCUUGAUUCAGACUGCAUGGAUGCUUUGCUCCUGCCUCUGCUGCUCCGGCAGUUCAAGAAUUUGAAGCCAAGACUUGAUGCUGCAAAUUUUCAGAUAAAAGCUGUGAGAAAGGCAAUAAGCUGAAGAAUUCAUGUAUCUGGAGAAGCACGGAAGACAGUUUCAUCUGCCAGUGAAAGUAAUCACUGAGGUGUAAAGGAUUGGUUGACUUCUGGAUGUUGUUGUGGUUCAGCCCCAGUCAGCCAACUAAACACCACGCAGCCGCUCGCUCACUUCCCCCAUCCCUCUGGGAUGGGGGAGAGAAUCGGAAGAACAAAAGCAAAAAAAAACCUUGUGGCUUGAGGUAAGAACAGUUUACUAAUUAGAAUAAAAUAAUAAUUGUAAUAUUGAUUGUGAUAAUAAUAACAAUAAUAAAAAGGAAAAGGGAAAAAGGAAAAAAAAACAGAACCACAAACGAUACAGCCGCUCACCACCCGCCGACUGAUGCUGCCGGUCCCUGAGCCGUGAUUGCUGCCUCCCUCCCCCGGCCAGCCCCUCCCAGGUAACACACUGGGCAUGACGUUACGUGGUAUGGAAUAUCCCUUUGGCCAGUUUGAAUCCGCUGUCGUCGCUGUGCCCCCU
Phalacrocorax carbo (great cormorant) is the source of this 1503-nucleotide non-coding RNA. Lineage: Eukaryota; Metazoa; Chordata; Aves; Suliformes; Phalacrocoracidae. The record is from RefSeq and is a predicted model, not a curated record.